GACGAACGCUGGCGGCGUGCUUAACACAUGCAAGUCGAACGGAAAGGCCCUGCUUUUGUGGGGUGCUCGAGUGGCGAACGGGUGAGUAACACGUGAGUAACCUGCCCUUGACUUUGGGAUAACUUCAGGAAACUGGGGCUAAUACCGGAUAGGAGCUCCUGCUGCAUGGUGGGGGUUGGAAAGUUUCGGCGGUUGGGGAUGGACUAGCGGCUUAUCAGCUUGUUGGUGGGGUAGUGGCUUACCAAGGCUUUGACGGGUAGCCGGCCUGAGAGGGUGACCGGCCACAUUGGGACUGAGAUACGGCCCAGACUCCUACGGGAGGCAGCAGUGGGGAAUAUUGCACAAUGGGCGGAAGCCUGAUGCAGCAACGCCGCGUGCGGGAUGACGGCCUUCGGGUUGUAAACCGCUUUCGCCUGUGACGAAGCGUGAGUGACGGUAAUGGGUAAAGAAGCACCGGCUAACUACGUA
RNAcentral lists this ribosomal RNA (468 nucleotides) under uncultured bacterium. RNAcentral's name for it is "partial 16S ribosomal RNA". It matches the Rfam family "Bacterial small subunit ribosomal RNA", at positions 28 to 507 of the family's 1533-position model. The record is from RNAcentral.